AUGGCUCAGUGAGGCCUUGGGACUGGCUCAGAGAGGUCGGCAACGACCACUCAGAGCCGGAAACUUGGUCAAACUUGGUCAUUUAGAGGAAGUAAAAGUCGUAACAAGGUUUCCGUAGGUGAACCUGCGGAAGGAUCAUUAUCGAGUUAGGGUCCUCUGGGCCCGAACCUCCCAACCCUUUGUCUACUCAACCUCUUGUUGCUUCGGCGGGCCCGUCCUUUACUGGACCGCCGGAGGACCGUCGCUCUGCGGCGGCGCCUCUGGCCCGUGCCCGUCGGUGGCCAACUUCAAAACUCUUUGUUUAAAUCGUGUCAUUUGUCUGAAUUCAAAAACAAAAAUAAAACGCAAAACUUUCAACAACGGAUCUCUUGGUUCUGGCAUCGAUGAAGAACGCAGCGAAAUGCGAUAAGUAAUGCGAAUUGCAGAAUUUCAGUGAGUCAUCGAAUCUUUGAACGCACAUUGCGCCCUUUGGCAUUCCGAAGGGCAUGCCUGUUCGAGCGUCAUUAUCACCCCUCAAGCCCCGCGCUUGGUGUUGGACGGCCCGGUCGAGUUCGUCUCGACCCCUCCCAAAGACAAUGACGGCGGCCUGCGGUUCCCCCGGCACACUGAGCUUUUCACCGAGCACGUGUCGGAUCGAAGGGUACCCGGGCCACGGUCCUCUUCCUAGUCACUAGGAAACUCCACGCAAGGUUGACCUCGAAUCAGGUAGGAAUACGCGCUGAACUUAAGCAUAUCAAUAAGCGCAGGAAAAGAAACCAACAGGGAUUGCCUCAGUAACGGCGAGUGAAGCGGCAACAGCUCAAAUUUGAAAUCUGGCCUCUUGGGGCCCGAGUUGUAAUUUGUAGAGGAUGUUUUGGGUACCGCCCCGGUUUAAAUUUCUUGGAACAGAAUGUCAAAGAGGGUGAGAAUCCCGUCUUGGACCGGCGGUAGGGCCUGUGUAAAACUCCUUCGACGAGUCGAGUUGUUUGGGAAUGCAGCUCAAAAUGGGUGGUAAAUUUCAUCUAAAGCUAAAUAUUGGCCAGAGACCGAUAGCGCACAAGUAGAGUGAUCGAAAGAUGAAAAGCACUUUGAAAAGAGAGUUAAACAGUAUGUGAAAUUGUUGAAAGGGAAGCGCUUGCAACCAGACUUGCGCGCGGCGGUUCCCCUUGCCUUUUGGCCAGGGUACUCCGCCGCGUCCAGGCCAACAUCGGUUUUGGGGGCCAGUUAAAGGCCCUGGGAAUGUACCUACCCACGGGUAGACUUAUAGACCAGGGUGCCAUGUGGCCUCCCGGGACCGAGGAACGCGCUUCGGCUCGGAUGUUGGCGUAAUGGUUGUCAGCGACCCGUCUUGAAACACGGACCAAGGAGUCUAACAUCUAUGCGAGUGUUUGGGUGUCAAACCCGGAACGCGGAAUGAAAGUGAACGGAGGUAGGAAGCUUCGGCUGCACUAUCGACCGAUCCUGAAGUUUACGGAUGGAUUUGAGUAAGAGCAUAGCUGUUGGGACCCGAAAGAUGGUGAACUAUGCCUGAAUAGGGUGAAGCCAGAGGAAACUCUGGUGGAGGCUCGCAGCGGUUCUGACGUGCAAAUCGAUCGUCAAAUUUGGGUAUAGGGGCGAAAGACUAAUCGAACCA
RNAcentral lists this ribosomal RNA (1612 nucleotides) under Chaetothyriales sp. MP-2014. Its description in RNAcentral is "eukaryotic LSU rRNA". The stretch from base 692 to 1612 matches the Rfam family "Eukaryotic large subunit ribosomal RNA", at positions 1 to 942 of the family's 3401-position model. The record is from RNAcentral. Lineage: Eukaryota; Fungi; Ascomycota; Eurotiomycetes; Chaetothyriales.